Molecule: ribosomal RNA, 468 nt
Filed under: uncultured bacterium
Lineage: Bacteria
Description: partial 16S ribosomal RNA
Rfam family: Bacterial small subunit ribosomal RNA
Source: RNAcentral
GACGAACGCUGGCGGCGUGCUUAACACAUGCAAGUCGAACGGAAAGGCCCUGCUUUUGUGGGGUGCUCGAGUGGCGAACGGGUGAGUAACACGUGAGUAACCUGCCCUUGACUUUGGGACAACUUCAGGAAACUGGGGCUAAUACCGGAUAGGAGCUCCUGCUGCAUGGUGGGGGUUGGAAAGUUUCGGCGGUUGGGGAUGGACUCGCGGCUUAUCAGCUUGUUGGUGGGGUAGUGGCUUACCAAGGCUUUGACGGGUAGCCGGCCUGAGAGGGUGACCGGCCACAUUGGGACUGAGAUACGGCCCAGACUCCUACGGGAGGCAGCAGUGGGGAAUAUUGCACAAUGGGCGGAAGCCCGAUGCAGCAACGCCGCGUGCGGGAUGACGGCCUUCGGGUUGUAAACCGCUUUCGCCUGUGACGAAGCGUGAGUGACGGUAAUGGGUAAAGAAGCACCGGCUAACUACGUG